Molecule: transfer RNA, 68 nt
Filed under: Etisus anaglyptus
Lineage: Eukaryota; Metazoa; Arthropoda; Malacostraca; Decapoda; Xanthidae
Description: tRNA-Leu
Source: RNAcentral
ACUAUUUUGGCAGAUUAUAUGCUCUAGAUUUAGGAUCUAGUUAAAUAGAGGAGAUUCUAUAAAUAGUA